GGGCAAGGAAAGGAAAAAUUGAGGACGGAGAGUGAAGGGAAGAUGGUGCUUUUAAAGGAAAGUGGGGAAGUGGCUGAGAUCGGAGGGGAGUUUGGCAUCUUUUGCGAUAUGGGUGUGUGUGUUCUUGUUGGAGAGACAACGCAGGGGAGGGGCACGUGUGAUACGGGGAGGAGUUGUGUUUUUAUGUGUGUGCUGAGAAAAUGAAUAUGUAUUUGCUUUAAACCCCCCCCCCCGGUGAUUUCUUGCUGACGCGCUCCAUAAUGCACGGCAUAUCAAGCAGCCAUGGCUCCAUGGAGCCCGUCCAACUCCCGACUUCGCCGACCAGACCUCAUUCACGCAAAGGUGAGUCGGCGGCCGGUGUUCCUCCGCUCAGAUGUCAAAGCGACGUUGUAACCACUUUGCACGAUGUGUCACGUGCGCAGUCAAAACAGCCUGAUUGCCGCUUGCGCUUUCCAGGGCCACGAGCUGACUGCGGUUCCGUGCUCUGUUUGCAAGAUCGUGUGUCCGAUGACACGGACGCGCCGUCAGCGUUCGGCCAAGAGGACGGACACUGUUCCGACAAUUUAGUGAAGAUGUUGCAGCUGCUUUGUCACCCCGGAACGUGGCCUGCUCUUUAGACUCUGUUUACACGUUGUCUCUUUUUUCCCUUGACCGAGCAGCAGAGCUCCGGGGAAAUUGGUGUUUAACUCUUCGUCCCCCAAAUUCUGGAGAAUGAAGAGAACCCGCGUUGCCUGCGGCUGGCUGGUUGUGGCUUCAAUGGGUCUUGACUCCGUUCCCUCCGGGCUUCCAAAUGAUGGGAUGACCUUUCCACCUCGGCCAGGGCUGCAGCGUCACUCACAGCAUGAAAUGGAAAGUAAUUUAAACCCUUCAGAAUUCUUUCCAUACUGCCUUAACCCUCCUAUUUUAUUUUAUUUGAAUCCUGCUUUACAAGAAAGGUCAGAACAUUCAUAUAGUAUCAUUUAUCAUAUUUGAAAUACUGUUGGCACCAUAAACAGACAUUACCGUCUUUAACUUAUUACAAAACAGUCUCGUUUGAUACGGAUGCCUUGAUUAGAACUACAUGAGGAAAAGAGACCAUC
Long non-coding RNA from Gasterosteus aculeatus aculeatus (three-spined stickleback), 1079 nucleotides. The record is from Ensembl. NCBI's taxonomy places the organism in Eukaryota, Metazoa, Chordata, Actinopteri, Perciformes, Gasterosteidae.